UGGGGAAUAUUGCACAAUGGAGGGAACUCUGAUGCAGCGACGCCGCGUGAACGAAGAAGGCUUUCGAGUCGUAAAGUUCUUUGAUAUGGGAAGAUAAUGACGGUACCAUAAGAAAAAGCCCCGGCUAACUACGUGCCAGCAGCCGCGGUAAUACGUAGGGGGCUAGCGUUGUCCGGAAUCACUGGGCGUAAAGGGUUCGCAGGCGGAAAUGCAAGUCAGGUGUAAAAGGCAGUAGCUUAACUACUGUAAGCAUUUGAAACUGCAUAUCUUGAGAAGAGUAGAGGUAAGUGGAAUUUUUAGUGUAGCGGUGAAAUGCGUAGAUAUUAAAAAGAAUACCGGUUGCGAAGGCGACUUACUGGGCUCAUUCUGACGCUGAGGAACGAAAGCGUGGGUAGCAAACAGG
RNAcentral lists this ribosomal RNA (403 nucleotides) under Verrucomicrobiota bacterium. RNAcentral describes it as "Verrucomicrobia bacterium partial 16S ribosomal RNA". It matches the Rfam family "Bacterial small subunit ribosomal RNA", at positions 355 to 776 of the family's 1533-position model. The record is from RNAcentral. Lineage: Bacteria; Pseudomonadati; Verrucomicrobiota.